RNAcentral lists this transfer RNA (65 nucleotides) under Geothelphusa pingtung. RNAcentral describes it as "tRNA-Leu". RNAcentral also lists the same sequence under 1 other name. The record is from RNAcentral. Lineage: Eukaryota; Metazoa; Arthropoda; Malacostraca; Decapoda; Potamidae.
AUUACUUUGGCAGGGUUGCAUUAAAUUUAGGAUUUAAUUAUAUAGAUUCUUAUCUAUAAGUAGUG